CAGCGCUCUGGUCAACUUCAGACGGGCUGCUCCCGGAAGACCGUGGCGGCUUAACCAGAACGUGGAGACCCGGCUUCCACGGGCCCGCCUGCCCGCCCAAGCUUCGCCCGGUUAGGGGCUGGGCGGGGCUGUGUUAACCUCUCAUCGCCUCCGCACUGGCCGCCAGCCCUAGGACCAGCAACGAUCCCCUGCGCUCACCAACCAACCGAGUCGGAGUCCUGAGCCUCUGUUCCCCGGUCACGGGAGAUGGCUGGCCCGGCAAGCAGAGGGGGAGCCCACCUCUGCGGAGUGGCUGUCCUGCAGCCCCCAAGGGCUCCUGGAGCGUUAGGGGAGCUCCAUGCACUGACAUGCCCCUUCCAUGGCAACAUCUAGGUUCCGCAUCAGCCUCCUUGCAUCACCAGCAGCUCCCUGGAGGUCCAACACCUAAACCUUCCAACCCAGCUGUCCCGGGAAGCCAAUCUGGAAUGGCGGGGCAGCCUCUCGUUCUUACUGCAGACUCACCUCCUCUGUCACCUGACGAAACAGGAGCCCCACAGCCGAGGCCUCUCACACUGGUCCAUAAACCUGGGACCUGACUCUCUGAGGAACUGACCCCUUAGUAACCACUGUGUGCAGCCUCAGGUGUUCUGAGCCUGCUGCAAUGUGAGAAGCUGUUUCCUUUAGCCCUUCCACCCUCACCUGUCCUCUGUGGAUCAGAGGCUGAGGUCUCCCCACCUGUGCCCCACUGGGUCCUUAACUCAGACAGGCGUUUUCGGGACCCGGACAUAAGCACACACAUUCCUCUCACUCCCCGCCUUGCAGCCUCAGACUUCCCUGGUCUGUGGACACAACUGUGAGCACUGGGUUCCGUAAGCCACAUAAUGGCUUUCCAGCUGGCUUUCCCCCUCGUGCCUGUAGAUUUUAGAGUGGACAGAGAAGUGAUUCUAUAGUAUCUCACUGAAAAACAAAAAACAAAACACUUCCCUGAACUCCUUGUUCCAGAUACCACCCAAUUCCUCAGCUGUGCUUCAGAGCAAAUUCUCCAGUUAUCUCUACUGUGUCUCCACCCCCUCUCCCUGCUCCCCUUCAUCCCGCUCACACCCAUCUUUUGUCCUCCACAGAAACUCCUCUGUCCAGGUCUCUCUGCACUGGCUUUCCUGUCAGCCCCUCCCCCACACCCAGCAGCAUCCAGCCCCAUUAGUACCUCCUUUUUCUUGCAGCGUUUACUUCCCUUCCUGCCUCCUCUGACCUAGC
Molecule: long non-coding RNA, 1233 nt
Organism: Phyllostomus hastatus (greater spear-nosed bat)
Lineage: Eukaryota; Metazoa; Chordata; Mammalia; Chiroptera; Phyllostomidae
Exons: 3
Source: RefSeq, a predicted model, not a curated record